GGAGACCCGGGUUCGAUUCCC
Molecule: non-coding RNA, 21 nt
Filed under: Arabidopsis thaliana (thale cress)
Lineage: Eukaryota; Viridiplantae; Streptophyta; Magnoliopsida; Brassicales; Brassicaceae
Source: RNAcentral